Non-coding RNA from Nicotiana sylvestris (wood tobacco), 74 nucleotides. Lineage: Eukaryota; Viridiplantae; Streptophyta; Magnoliopsida; Solanales; Solanaceae. The record is from Rfam.
GCAUUCAUGGCUGAAUGGUUAAAGCGCUCAACUCAUUAUUGGUAAAUUUGUAGGUUCAAUUCCUACUGGAUGCA